AGCGAACGCUGGCGGCAGGCCUAACACAUGCAAGUCGAACGAACCUUCCGGGGUUAGUGGCGGACGGGUGAGUCACGCGUGGGACCGUGCCUUUAGGCUCGGAAUAACUCUGGGAAACUUGUGCUAAUACCGAAUGUGUCCUGCGGAGGAAAGAUUAAUCGGCGUUAGAACGGCCGGCGUCCGCUUAGCAAGUUGGCUGAGGUAAGGGCUCACCAAGGCGACGAUCAUUAGCGGGUCUGAGAGGAAGAUCAGCCACAUUGGGACUGGGACACGGCCCAAACUCCUACGCGAGGCAGCAGAGGGGGAUCCAGCGAAAUGGGCGAAAGGCUGACGGAGCCAUGCCGCGAGAAUGAUGAAGGUCUUAGGAAAGAGAAGUUCUUUCACCGGGGGCGAUAAUGACAGUACCCGAAGAAGAAGCCCCGGCUAACUUCGUG
RNAcentral lists this ribosomal RNA (434 nucleotides) under uncultured bacterium. Its description in RNAcentral is "partial 16S ribosomal RNA". It matches the Rfam family "Bacterial small subunit ribosomal RNA", at positions 29 to 507 of the family's 1533-position model. The record is from RNAcentral.